CUAUUUGAGUACGAGCGCACUGUUAGGACCGGAAAGAUGGUGAACUAUGCCUGGGCAGGGUGAAGCCAGAGGAAACUCUUGUGGAGGUCCGUAGCGGUCCUGACGUGCAAAUCGGUCGUCCGACCCGGGUAUAGAGAGAGAGUGUAGAUG
Long non-coding RNA from Sapajus apella (tufted capuchin), 150 nucleotides. RefSeq lists it as uncharacterized. Lineage: Eukaryota; Metazoa; Chordata; Mammalia; Primates; Cebidae. The record is from RefSeq and is a predicted model, not a curated record. The transcript has 3 exons.